RNAcentral lists this ribosomal RNA (478 nucleotides) under uncultured bacterium. Its description in RNAcentral is "partial 16S ribosomal RNA". It matches the Rfam family "Bacterial small subunit ribosomal RNA", at positions 28 to 523 of the family's 1533-position model. The record is from RNAcentral.
GACGAACGCUGGCGGCGUGCUUAACACAUGCAAGUCGAACGGUAAGGCCCUUCGGGGUACACGAGUGGCGAACGGGUGAGUAACACGUGGGUGAUCUGCCCUGCACUUCGGGAUAAGCCUGGGAAACUGGGUCUAAUACCGGUUAGGACUCCGGACGUCAUGGCCUGGGGGGGAAAGCUUUUGCGGUGUGGGAUGGGCCCGCGGCCUAUCAGCUUGUUGGUGGGGGGAUGGCCUACCAAGGCGACGACGGGUAGCAGGGCUGAAAGGGUGACCGGCAACACUGGGACUGAGAUACGGCCCAGACUCCUACGGGAGGCAGCAGUGGGGAAUAUUGCACAAUGGGCGCAAGCCUGAUGCAGCGACGCCGCGUGAGGGAUGACGGCCUUCGGGUUGUAAACCUCUUUCAGCAUCGACGAAGCGAAAGUGACGGUAGGUGCAGAAGAAGGACCGGCCAACUACGUGCCAGCCGCCGCCGUAA